Molecule: ribosomal RNA, 253 nt
Filed under: uncultured bacterium
Lineage: Bacteria
Description: partial 16S ribosomal RNA
Rfam family: Bacterial small subunit ribosomal RNA
Source: RNAcentral
UACGUAGGGUGCAAGCGUUGUCCGGAUUUAUUGGGUUUAAAGGGUGCGUAGGCGGUUUAUUAAGUCAGUGGUGAAAGACGAUCGCUCAACGAUUGCAGUGCCAUUGAUACUGGUAAACUUGAGUAGUGCAGAGGUAGCUGGAAUUGAUCGUGUAGCGGUGAAAUGCAUAGAUAUGAUCAAGAACGCCAAUUGCGAAGGCAGGUUACUGGACACUCACUGACGCUGAGGCACGAAAGUGUGGGGAUCAAACAGG